GCCUGCCCCCACUGGGACAGCAAGGGCAGCGCUGAGCACGGGGGGAGCUGAGACCCCAGCUGAGUGGGGGGACACCCAGGCAGGGCAGGUCGGCUGCCAACCAGGUUUGCCUGGUCUAGACGUGCUGCUGGGAAGUGAUUACACAGCAGGAAGGGAGCUACCAGGGACAGGGCUCAGGGGGGCUGUGACCCCAGGCCCAGCGAGCAAGAGGGAACAGGUCCCACUCCCUGCCCCAGCUGCUGAAUCCCAGACCGAGCUGCAGAAGGAUCCCUCCUUGGAGAAGCUGAGGAAACUUGCUGGCCACAGCGCUGCAAACCCCCUUGGGGAAGGCUGCAGGGACAGAGUCCUGCAGGAGAAGGGAUUCCUGUACCGGGAAUGGGCUCCCCAAGGGGAAGUAGAACUGGGGGGAAUCGGGAGGCAGCUGGUGGUGCCCCAGGAAUCCACAUGGUUCUUCCCAUUUGAGCUGCUGGAUGGGAGGAGAGUGAGGGGACCCCUGGACCUGAAGGGGGAGGAUUGGAUGGAGAAGGGGGAAGACCCCUUGGGGGAUCUCUUCCCCGAGGUGGGAGCCAAUCUCCCCAUCAGGUGUUCCCCGUUCAGAGUCACUGGGAAAGCAGCCCAGAACCUGGAGAGAGAGGUCAAGGACCUGCUGGCUUUAGAUGGGAUCCAGCCGUUUUACAGCCCAUGGGCCUCACCCGUGGGGCUGAUCCCCAAGGGAGACAGGAAGAUCUGGUUUUAUGGGGGCUAUCGGAAGCUUAAAGCCAUCACAGUGUCCGAUGCCGACCCCAUGCCUAGGCCUGGGGAGAUUCUAGACAAGCUGAGGAGGAUGGAGAACUUGGCCCUGGCAGACACUGAUAACAUGUGCAUCUUUAGCCAGACCUGGGAGGAACAGGUGUCCCAGGUGAAGGGGGGGCUGGGCUGCCUCAAGGAGGUGGGACUGACGGUAAAAGCUGGAAAGUGCAAGGGGGGACGGCAGAGGUGUUGUGUCUGGGCCACAAAGUGGGAAACGGCUGCCCAAGCCCAGAGCUGGCCAAGGCCAAGAUGGGGGCUCUUAACCAAGACAGCCCGAAUCACAGACCAGAGGGCUGGGAAAAGACCCAAUCCCAGUUUGAACCCCAGGGGUACUGGGGUGGCAAAGGGUGUGGGCUGCAUAAACCUUCCCACAUGCGGCCUGCAAGUGCCAUCAAGCACACCCGACCUAAGGGAGGGCGUGAGACUGGACUGUCCUGAUGUAACUCACACCAAGGAAUGGGAGAGAUGCUGGGGCAUCCAUGGGAACGUUGGUGGGUUCGAACUUCCCCAGGUCACUGGCUGGAGUGACCUCGCUCAGUUCGGUCUCGAAGGGGGGAGAGAUGUGACGAACUGGGAAUGUUCUUAAUGUUUUCUCUGAAUACUGUGUUGGUGCCUCAGUGUCCCCAUGGCAGUUCUUAAGUAUCUGGCAGAGCAAAGGGCCAGUGCACCUAAAUGCCUGGCACUCUGUCUCCUAGCAACUGAUGGCCUGGGCCCCUCCUCUGCAAAGGUGCCAGCUGAAGGUGUUGGAGACAAAGAGAUCAGGUGACCUCCUGGCCCAGGAAAGGAACUGAGCAGAGGAGGAGGGGCUGGAGGGGGUUUCAGUCUGGAGCUGGCUGGGGACGAGGAGUGAAGUGCAGAGGUGGGGGUCUGGCUCACUGCCCCGAAGAAUGGACCCGGCUGAGGGGUCCAGUUUGCUGUAUCUACAAGCUCUGUUUUAGACCCUGUUCCUGUCAUCGAAUAAACCUCUGUUUUACUGGCUGGCUGAGAGUCACGUCUGACUGCGAAGUGGGG
Molecule: RNA transcript, 1800 nt
Organism: Gopherus flavomarginatus (Mexican gopher tortoise)
Lineage: Eukaryota; Metazoa; Chordata; Testudines; Testudinidae
Exons: 3
Source: RefSeq, a predicted model, not a curated record